This 222-nucleotide long non-coding RNA is filed under the name Nicotiana benthamiana. Its description in RNAcentral is "long non-coding RNA (NBEN_LNC014780)". Lineage: Eukaryota; Viridiplantae; Streptophyta; Magnoliopsida; Solanales; Solanaceae. The record is from RNAcentral.
UCUAAGCCCCAGCCAAUCGGGUAAGAGAACUGUCUUACGACAAGAAGUAGUCAUGGGAAGGGUUACCCGUAGAAUUUAGAAUCGGUAGUAGCCCGGGUUCGGGCAUUACAAAGGACUGCCAGUAAAGGGCCAAGCAGAGGCUUCAUCUAGUAUCCCCAAAAGCAAGCAGAGAGUCAGUUUAUUCGUGAAAAGAUGGGACGGGAGUUGCCCGAAUCAAAUACG